Molecule: ribosomal RNA, 460 nt
Filed under: uncultured bacterium
Lineage: Bacteria
Description: partial 16S ribosomal RNA
Rfam family: Bacterial small subunit ribosomal RNA
Source: RNAcentral
CCUACGGGUGGCAGCAGUGAGGAAUAUUGGUCAAUGGGCGUGAGCCUGAACCAGCCAAGUCGCGUGAAGGAUGAAGGUUCUAUGGGUCGUAAACCUCUUUUAUAAGGGAAUAAAGUGUGGGACGUGUCCUGUUUUGUAUGUACCUUAUGAAUAAGGAUCGGCUAACUCCGUGCCAGCAGCCGCGGUAAUACGGAGGAUCCGAGCGUUAUCCGGAUUUAUUGGGUUUAAAGGGUGCGUAGGUGGGCUUUUAAGUCAGCGGUGAAAGUUUGUGGCUCAACCAUGGAAUUACAGUUGAAACGGGGAGUCUUGAGUAUGUUUGAGGCAGGCGGAAUGCGUGGUGUAGCGGUGAAAUGCUUAGAUAUCACGAAGAACCCCGAUUGCGAAGGCAGCCUGCCAAGCCAUGACUGACGCUGAUGCACGAAAGCGUGGGGAUCAAACAGGAUUAGAUACCCUAGUAGUC